UGGGGAAUAUUGGACAAUGGGCGCAAGCCUGAUCCAGCCAUGCCGCGUGAGUGAUGAAGGCCCUAGGGUUGUAAAGCUCUUUCACCGGUGAAGAUAAUGACGGUAACCGGAGAAGAAGCCCCGGCUAACUUCGUGCCAGCAGCCGCGGUAAUACGAAGGGGGCUAGCGUUGUUCGGAUUUACUGGGCGUAAAGCGCACGUAGGCGGACUUUUAAGUCAGGGGUGAAAUCCCGGGGCUCAACCCCGGAACUGCCUUUGAUACUGGAAGUCUUGAGUAUGGUAGAGGUGAGUGGAAUUCCGAGUGUAGAGGUGAAAUUCGUAGAUAUUCCGAGGAACACCAGUGGCGAAGGCGGCUCACUGGACCAUUACUGACGCUGAGGUGCGAAAGCGUGGGGAGCAAACAGG
Molecule: ribosomal RNA, 404 nt
Filed under: Actinomycetes bacterium
Lineage: Bacteria; Bacillati; Actinomycetota; Actinomycetes
Also listed under: 1 other name
Description: Actinobacteria bacterium partial 16S ribosomal RNA
Rfam family: Bacterial small subunit ribosomal RNA
Source: RNAcentral